RNAcentral lists this transfer RNA (75 nucleotides) under Pseudomonadota bacterium. RNAcentral's name for it is "tRNA-Met". It matches the Rfam family "tRNA". Rfam says of the family: Transfer RNA (tRNA) molecules are approximately 80 nucleotides in length. Their secondary structure includes four short double-helical elements and three loops (D, anti-codon, and T loops). Lineage: Bacteria; Pseudomonadati; Pseudomonadota. RNAcentral also lists the same sequence under 5 other names. The record is from RNAcentral.
GGCGGAGUAGCUCAGUGGCAGAGCAGGGGACUCAUAAGCCCUUGGUCGGUGGUUCGAAUCCGCCCUCCGCUACCA